CAAACGGCCCUUUUCAGGGCCACUACAUAUUGAGAAAAAUGAUCGU
Molecule: non-coding RNA, 46 nt
Organism: Lingula anatina
Lineage: Eukaryota; Metazoa; Brachiopoda; Lingulata; Lingulida; Lingulidae
Source: Rfam